RNAcentral lists this long non-coding RNA (2191 nucleotides) under Homo sapiens (human). RNAcentral's name for it is "HSALNT0371179". Lineage: Eukaryota; Metazoa; Chordata; Mammalia; Primates; Hominidae. The record is from RNAcentral.
ACUCUGUCUCAAACAAACAAACAAACAAAAAAAUUCACUUCUUUUAUUGCUCAGUAGUAUAAUUUUUUAGAAGAUUAAAAGUGACACAAGCUUACUGUCAAAAACUUUGAUAGUACAGAAAAAAAUUAAAAAAAAAACGAUCAACCACCCGUUAUCAAAGAAAUGUAUGUUAAAACAGGAAGAUACCAAUUUUCGCCUAACAGACUGUACAAAUGGGAAGGGACAGUGUGUAGCCGGCCUCCACAAUGGCCCCCCAGUGACUCCUGCCCGCUGGUAUUCACACCUGACCUGGGGAAUCGAUGGGUUACUGUGGAAAUGACAAUGACUUCUGAGCUGUGGUCAUAAGAGUCACUGCAGUUCCCAUCUGGCUCACUCUAGGGGAUGCCAGUGGCCAUGCUGUGAGGUCACUGAGGAAGCCUCUGGAGGAGGCAGCCCACACGAGGAGGAACGAGGCCUCCCACCAACAGCCACGUGGGCACACCAUCUUGGAUGUGGUUCCUCUAGCCUCAGUCAAGCCUUCAGAUGCCUGCAACCCCUGCCAGCAUCCUCACUGCAACUUGAUGAGUGAUCACCCAGCUAAGCCACUGCUGGAUUUGUAACCCACAGAAACUGGGAGCAGGGCAUCGCAUGGCCUCGACGGGGAUUACCCAUAGGAGAGAUGAGUUUUGCUGAGAACGCCUGAGUGAGCAUGGAGCAGAGCUCCGUGAGCACCUGCACCCAGCUGGGAGAAACCAGGAGCUCAUGAAGUGUCUGAGACAUUGGGUUAAAGCACACACAUUUAAAGAGACGAGGAAAAGAAAAGAGACGCAGCGUUCUCGUUCUCCUUCUCAGGAUUACGAAAGAGGCGACUGGGUUGGCACCCUAGGGAGGUUCCCACAUGCACUGCAGUGCCUGAGGCAGGCCAGUCUCACAGGAGCCUCUUAGGGAUCAACGAAAUGUGGUCUGCCUGUACUGUGGCAGAUUACUAGGACAUAAAAGGAAUGAAGUACUGAUCCAUGCUACAAUGUGGAUGAACCUUGGUAACACUGUGCUGAGCGAAAGCAGCCAAUCACAAAAGGCCACAUAUCGUAUGAUCCAAUUAUACAAAAUGUCCAGAACAGGGAAACCCAGGAAAGAAAGCAGAGAGGUGGGUGCCAGGAGCUGGGGGAGGCAGGAACAGAGAGUGACUGCUAAUUGGUAUGGGGUUUCCUUUCGGAAAAUGGAAAUGUUCUGGAACUAGGGGUGGUGGCUGCAUAACCUCUUGAAAAAUGCUAAAAACCACUGAGCUGCAGGCUUUAAAAGGGUAUUUCUGUGGUAUAUGAAUUAUAUGCUAAUUGGAAGAAAGGAGCUGGCUGGACGCAGUGGCUCAUGCCUAUAAUCCCAGCACUUUGGGAGGCCAAAGCAGGUGAAUUGCUUGAGCCCAGGAGUUCGAGACCAGCCUGAGCAACAUGGCAAAACUUCAUUUCUACAAAAAAACUUAAAAAAAAAAAUUAGCCGGACACAGUGGUGCAUGCCUGUGAUCCCAGCUACUCAGGAGGCUAAGGUGGGAGGAUCGCUUGAGCCUGGGAAGUCGAGGCUGCAGUGAGCCACGAUCGUGCCACUGCACUCCAGCCUAGGCAAUAGAGUGAGACCCUGUCAGAGGGGUGACCCUGGGGACGCAGAGCUGGAGCACGGAGCAGUCCCCUAAGUCUCCUUUCCCAUGAUGCAAUCCCUUCCCGUUCUCCACCCAGCAGCCAGGUCACCACGGGAUCACCCAGCCCUUGCUCAGAACCCUGAGGAUGGCCCACUCCCUCUCACACCUCCCCACACUCCUGGACUCACCACCGAGGCCCCCCAGCUCAGCCUUCCUGGCUGUUCCCCACAGACACAGAGCCUCCUCCAGCCCAGGGCCUUCUUCUGGCUGUUCCUUGUGCCUGGGAACAUGACUUCCGCAGAGGUGCGGGGAGGAGAUUCCAGGUACAGGGGUCAGCCAGAGGAAGGCUUCAUCAAGUUCCGUAGACUCCUCCAAACAGGCUUUCCCUGGCAGCCCUGUCUAAAACAGCCCUACACCCCACCCCAUCAUCCCUUUCCCAUCACAAUGCUUUACUUAUUCUUCCAAGCAUGUUUUCUUACUUAUUGUUAAACCACCACGCUUUGCCCCCCGGAACAUCAGCGUCUCCCAGGGCAGGCAGCUUGUCUCCUUGCAGAGGAGGCUUUUUUUUUUUUUUUUUUU